This 306-nucleotide small RNA is filed under the name Histoplasma capsulatum. RNAcentral describes it as "hypothetical RNA". RNAcentral also lists the same sequence under 1 other name. The record is from RNAcentral. Lineage: Eukaryota; Fungi; Ascomycota; Eurotiomycetes; Onygenales; Ajellomycetaceae.
CAGGGACGAGGUGCUUGUUUGGGCAUGAGGAGCCCCUGUAGGCCACCCACCAACUGAGAUGAGGAUGCGGGCGACUUACUGAAUGCCACUCUUCUUUCUUUUCAGUUAUCCCCAUAAGGGGAAUAACAGGAUAGGUCUCAUGGCAAAAGCUGAACCCUGAUGUGUGAAUGAUUGUGUCAACGAGCAGAAUUCCAGGCUGGAAAAGAGUUGAGGAAAGAGGGAUGAAACCGGGCGAUGAGCGGGAUUUUAUACCUUGUUUAUAUACCCUGGAAUAUACGGCAGUCGCCGUCGAGAACCAGAUGCAGG